UUCUCAGCCUCCAAAGACCUUACAGACUUCCUUCUCUGUGGCAAUCUCAUUUUGGAGGCCACUGUCCUAAAGAGAGGAGGGAAAUCGGUCAAGAGGAUAGAGAGGGAUGAGAGAUGGAUGGAAGUGAAGAGGAGAGGUGGGUUUAGGAGUGUUUUUCAUAGAUUUUGUAGGUUAGGGUUUGAAAUUUGGUGGAGAUCUGGAGGGUAAGCC
RNAcentral lists this long non-coding RNA (210 nucleotides) under Elaeis guineensis (African oil palm). Its description in RNAcentral is "long non-coding RNA (EGUI_LNC065893)". The record is from RNAcentral. Lineage: Eukaryota; Viridiplantae; Streptophyta; Magnoliopsida; Arecales; Arecaceae.